AGCGGUGCCUGCCAUGCUCUUCAACGGCAGCACAGUAAGAGCUUGCUCUUAUGGGUGGCGAGUGGCGGACGGGUGAGGAAUACAUCGGAAUCUACUUUUUCGUGGGGGAUAACGUAGGGAAACUUACGCUAAUACCGCAUACGACCUUCGGGUGAAAGCAGGGGACCUUCGGGCCUUGCGCGAUUGAAUGAGCCGAUGUCGGAUUAGCUAGUUGGCGGGGUAAAGGCCCACCAAGGCGACGAUCCGUAGCUGGUCUGAGAGGAUGAUCAGCCACACUGGAACUGAGACACGGUCCAGACUCCUACGGGAAGGCAGCAGUGGGGAAUAUUGGACCAAUGGGGCGCAAGCCUGAUCCAGCCAAUACCGCGUGGGGUGAAGAAGGCCUUCGGGUUGUAAAGCCCCUUUUUGUUGGGGAAAGAAAAGCAGCGGGCUUAAUACCUUUGCUUGUUCUUGACGGGUAACCCAAAAGAAUAAGCACCCGGCUUAACUUUCGUGGCAACAAGCCGCGGUAAUACCAAAGGGUGCAAGCGUUA
Molecule: ribosomal RNA, 533 nt
Filed under: Stenotrophomonas maltophilia
Lineage: Bacteria; Pseudomonadati; Pseudomonadota; Gammaproteobacteria; Lysobacterales; Lysobacteraceae
Description: bacterial SSU rRNA
Rfam family: Bacterial small subunit ribosomal RNA
Source: RNAcentral